Molecule: long non-coding RNA, 1837 nt
Filed under: Olea europaea subsp. europaea
Lineage: Eukaryota; Viridiplantae; Streptophyta; Magnoliopsida; Lamiales; Oleaceae
Source: RNAcentral
AAAAUCGAUUGAUAGCAGCCUCCAAACUUGAUUGCAUAAUGUAAGAUUACAAUGGUUUAUAUAGUGCAAAACUAAGGAAACAUAAUAAGACUAAACUACCCUUAACUUAAUUAACUUAUUACUUUAACAUCCCCCGUCAAACUCACGAUGCUACGACAAGGAGCAACGAGAGUUUGACCAACAAAAAGCGUAAAUGAUAAAUCGAAUUUGACUUCGUGGCAAAGUCUACAAGCUGCAAUGAUGGAGAGCAAUGAAAGGUAGGGAAAUGAUGCCAAACUGCAGAUAACCAACGAAACCACACAAUCUCAGCUAAACCCACUGCAGAUAACCAACGAAACCACACAAUCUCAAUUAAACCAAACGGAUGCAAAUUUCAAAUUCCAAAUGAACUUGACGUAUCAAUUCCAAGAACUGACUAUGCCAAAUUCCAAACUCCAGAUAGACUGGACAAACGAAUUUUCUAAUCCCAAAAACUAGGCAAACAAACGAAAUUUCCAAAUCCCGUGAAUCGAGCAUCAAACGAAAUUUUCAAUCCCACGAACUGGGUACAAAUUUCAAAUUCAAGCUCGACAAAUGCCAAAUUUAAGGCACCCACAGCUAAAAACACAUCCUCAUCUUCAGCAACUCAUCAAACAAGGCCCAAAUUUUACCCAAAAUCAGCCCUUACAUAAUCAUCUUCCAUAAUGCCAUAAUGAGGAAAACUCCAAUUAAUCUUUUUUUUUUCUUUUUCGAAGAGACUUCUCCAGCAUGCCUAAUUAAUUAGAGCCCAACCCUUUUAUUUCUUUCUCUCUCUCUCUCUAUUUUUUUUUUAAAACUCAAAUGCACGAAUUGAAAUCCCAAAAUACAAGGCCCAAAUCCAACAGUACCAAACUGCUGGCAAUCCACAGCCCACUACUUAGGCCCAAUUCAGCAGAUCUAUCAAACAUUUCAAGCCCACUUACUAAAAUAUUAAAGUACCAGCCCAACUAACCAAUCCACGAAACCUGAAAUAAUAACCCAAAACAUUAAUCAAACAGCCAUAACCCAAAACAUAUACUAUGGCCCUUAUAAUACUUCAACCCAAUCAUACAAAUCUUGUUUAAUUCAAGCCCAAUUACACGCUAAACCCAUCAAUACAAUGUCUCCAAAAUAAACCCGAAGCCGCCGACCACAGCUCAGCCACCGGGAUCUGCCAUCUUCUCCACAGGUCUCGUCGCCGGCCGCCCCUCAAAAGUAACCAGAUUGAGCGGUGCCGAUGAAUCUCACAACUCUGACCACCGAACUAAAAAAAAAUGACAGUAAAACUUUACUGAUUCAACCCAAAUCGACUCCGAAAACUGCCGUCAAACGUCGGGUUUCACCAUGGUCGGCCACCAUCUCUCCAAAUCAAACUGACCAUAAGCAGCCGAUUGAAACUUCCCCGUCGAUCCCCAUCUUAAACCAGUUCACUGCACCCCGCCUAUGGUCACACCACAUCUGUCUGACCGUCUCCAUAUCAAGACUCCAUCACCGGACCUCCAUGGCCACAACAACAAUACUCAACCACACAAACAACCUAUAAACCACUGCGUCAAUCUUUGGUUUCGGUCCCUGCCUCUGGUUAGAAAUCACAAAUAGAACUAAAUGGAGACACCACACAAAUGGACGACUACCACAGGUAUUGACCAGAACCAAGGUUGCUGCUGCUCCACGAAACUCACGACAGAGUGUGUAUGUAUGACUUGAAUCCAAAAAAAAAUUGCAACAAAACAAAACAAAAAAACUUUGGCGAUCAAAAUGGCUUUGAUACCAUGUUAGAAAACAACAAACAAAAGAUGAAGAAUGGAGGAGAAAAAGAGAAAAUCGAUUGAUAGCAGCC